GACGAACGCUGGCGGCGCGCCUAACACAUGCAAGUCGAACGAGAGAUGAAGAGCUUGCUCUUCAAAUCGAGUGGCGAACGGGUGAGUAACGCGUGAGGGAACCUGCCUUUCAGUGGGGGACAACAGUUGGAAACGACUGCUAAUACCGCAUGAUACUUUUGGAGGCAUCUCUGGAAAGUCAAAGAUUUAUUGCUGAAAGAUGGGCUCGCGUCUGAUUAGCCUAAGUUGGUGAGGUAACGGGCCCACCAAGGCGACGAUCAGUAGCCGACCUGAGAGGGUGAUCGGCCACAUUGGAACUGAGAGACGGUCCAAACUCCUACGGGAGGCAGCAGUGGGGAAUAUUGGGCAAUGGGCGAAAGCCUGACCCAGCAACGCCGCGUGAAGGAAGAAGGUUUUCGGAUCGUAAACUUCUAUCCUUGGUGAAGAUAAUGACGGUAGCCAAGAAGGAAGCCCCGGCUAACUACGUG
RNAcentral lists this ribosomal RNA (467 nucleotides) under uncultured bacterium. Its description in RNAcentral is "bacterial SSU rRNA". It matches the Rfam family "Bacterial small subunit ribosomal RNA", at positions 28 to 507 of the family's 1533-position model. The record is from RNAcentral.